UAGUCAGGAGCAGCUCCUUCUACUACUUCCCUACAAGAGUGCCAGCCAAGAAAGUGUAGAAUGAAUCUUGAAUAGAGCCAUGAGUCCUGGACUGCAGUUUCAGCUCUGCUAGUUCCUAGUUUUAUAACUGUCUCUUUGUCUGUUAAGUAAGGCCAAGGACCCAAGACUUACCCAUUCCACAGAGCUAACAAGUAAAUCCUGGAAGAGACAUGCUUUAUAACUGUAAAGGACAUUCCAUAUUCCACCAAGAGGAUUGAGAAAUGAUGGUUGGACAGAAGGAAUAGGAGACUCCAGAGAGUAUGAAAGUUUGGGUCCAGCUCUAAAACCAGUGGGAAUUCCCAUGAAAGAACUUAAGAGGCAGAGACAUGCAGAUAUCUAUGAGUUAGAGGCCAUUGAGUUCCUGAACCACCAAGGCUACAUAGCGAGACCCUAUUUCAAAUAAAGAAAAGACAAAAGAGGAAGGAAGAAAAGAGGACUUUGGAAUUGGUAAGGAACAAGGCCCUAAUGUAACUUCCUGCAAAGGUCAGGGCAAGGUAAAGACAUCACAAAUGCUACCAUGCCUUCUACCACAACAGCCUUCCCCUUACAACAAAUGCCCCUUCUAACCACUUGCAGCAUUCUGACUGCUACUCUCCUUACUACUAUUCCUUCUGUCAUCAGGCACCUUGAGUUAUCGGAAGUGUAUAGCCCAGGACAUAAAUGUACACCUGAAUCAUGCUA
Non-coding RNA from Cricetulus griseus (Chinese hamster), 720 nucleotides. NCBI's taxonomy places the organism in Eukaryota, Metazoa, Chordata, Mammalia, Rodentia, Cricetidae. The record is from RefSeq and is a predicted model, not a curated record.